GCCAUGAUGGGAGCUCUCUGAGGCCAUUUUUUACAUUGAGACUCUUUUCCAUUUGGAGCAUCAGACCUGGACUCUCUGCAUUUCCUUUAUAUUCAGCUUGAAAACUGAAUGGUUUCUUCUUUAGCUCAUGUGCCUUGCUUCAUAUCAUACCCAGCUAAGGAAACCACUUGGCACGUUGUGCAUUCUGCCUGGAGCUCUCCUUAGCCAGAUGCACAAUUUCAUUAGAUACUUUCUGUUUUCCAAGUUACCACAAGAAGUCAUCUUACUAAUUGUGGCACCACUACCUAACCUGGGUUUUCAGCUUGCAGCACUUUUCUUACUGUUCUUCCACCCGGCCACCCGGUCCCAGAGUCAAUGCCACACGUUUCAGGGUUUUGUUAUGGCACCAUCCCACAUCUGGGGACCAAUGGCAAAUAUCAGUUAUCUAUUGCUAUAUGAUAAACCACCCUAAGCUUCUUAAAACAGCACCGUGAUGUUGCUCAUGAUUCUGUGCAUCUUGAGGUCAAGGGUGCAGCGCAGGCAGCUCGUCUCUGCUCCACCUGCCGCCAGCCAGUUUCGCUCCCCCAUCUGGGCCUUCACUUUUCCCCCGCGUGGCCGCUCUCUCUCUCCCACGGACGGCCUGGCCUUUCUCACAGGCCAUCUAGGGUGGCUGUGUCUGUUGGGGUUGAGACGAGGUCAGCACCCCGGCAGGUGCCGUGGCCCGCGCGGUAACAGGCUGGCGUGUGUCCCCAGAGUACACCAUCACCAUGUACGACACCAAAGCCCGCGAGCUCCGCUGGAACGCCACCUACUUCGACUACGCAGCCGCGCUGCCCGAGGACGACGGGGACUACAAGAUGUCCCACUUUGUGUCCAAUGGCGACGGGCUGGUGGUGACUGUGGACAGCGAAUCCGGGGACGUCCUGUGGAUCCAAAACUAUGCCUCCCCCGUGGUGGCCUUUUACGUCUGGCAGCGGGAGGGCCUGCGGAAGGUGAUGCACAUCAACGUGGCCGUGGAGACCCUGCGCUACCUGACCUUCAUGUCCGGGGAGGUGGGGCGCAUCACCAAGUGGAAGUACCCGUUCCCCAAGGAGACGGAAGCCAAGAGCAAGCUCACGUGAGUGGGGGGACUGAGGGCCCAAGGGGCCGCUGGGACCCUGGCAUUCGCAUCCUGCAGCAGCCGCCUGGUGCACCCCACGCUGGGGGUCAGGGCCAGGGGCAGAAGACUCCUUCACGUCAUCGGGAUAUGCAGAACCCAGACCCGCUCUUUCGGAAACCUCAGCAUCCAAGAACUGGGCACC
RNAcentral lists this long non-coding RNA (1280 nucleotides) under Sus scrofa (pig). RNAcentral describes it as "lncRNA (ENSSSCG00050065020.1)". Lineage: Eukaryota; Metazoa; Chordata; Mammalia; Artiodactyla; Suidae. The record is from RNAcentral.